AACAAUCAUUAAUAAGAAUCUUUGUGCAUGGGCUGAUGUAGUUGUAAUACCAUCUCGGGACAGGCAACAGGACAAGUAAUUGUCAGAACAGAAUCCCUCAACCAACUAAAAUAAAUGCUCAAUGAUGGCAUCACAUUUUACUAAUACCAUAGAUAACACAUAUCACAGUCUUAAAUAAAUAAACUAUUUAACACUGCUUGACAAACACUUUUUGCAUGAAAUAUUAGUGCAUAAAACAUUUGUGCAUCGUGCAGUUUUUCCCCUGCAUUACACAUCCUUGGCCAAGACUUCCAAAGAAGCAUCUGACUCAUCUUCAAUAUGAAAAAUAUCCAUGGUGGCUACAUUUGGUGCAUCUCUGUGGAACUCAUCAUCGAUGACUUGGUCCAGUUCCGGUGCUUCCUCCGUUGAAUCGUGAACAGCGGUCCAAUUUCGCUCCCACAUCAUGUCAUCCUCUGAGCCACCCGUGGCGUUUGUGAGGAAACAAAAGUUUUGGUUCCGGAGCGCAGCCUCUCACCCUCCGUUCGCUUUCAAUUUAGCGUCAGGUGGCUAUCGAAACAACGUGAGCUUAAAACUACGUAGGAACGAGCGUCAUGGGAACAUUUUUUUAAAAGCGAGAAUUUCAAUUAUGUGCGCGCUCCUGUUUUUUUUUUGUUUUGUUUUUUUUUUUUUGCCCCAUGACGCUCGUACUAUGUAGUUUGCGCUCACGUUAUUUUGAUGCCCACCUGAAGCCAUCGAGGCGCGCUAUUGUUGUUUCGGACUGCGCCGCUGCUUCCGAAUUGGCGGCGUCGUCGGCACGAGUGAUGACAUUUCUUUUAAAAGCAGCUGCACAACUAGCCGUUGUAGUCGACAUUUUUUGUUUAAGUUUAAAUGAAAGCAAACUCACGGGCAGUUGUUUCUGAGGUUUGGUGCAAUUGCAACAAACGUGCUACGCUAACAAUCGGAAAAUGCAAGUUCCCCGAGGAGGUCGUAGAGCUCAGGUUGGGGGCGCACAUUACCGUGAUGAAUAGAAAUGUGUAACAUAAGACAUCAAAUAUCAUAUCAACAUGUGUAUGCAUGUAUUUUUCACCACUCUGUGAUUGUAUUUUUCGUCCAUACCUAAAUAUACUGCCCUCUAAUAACCUUUUGGAAAGAUUUGCGCAUUAUUUUCAAGAAAUUACAGUUAUUUAUUUAUUAGUGCGUAGUUUUUAGCAUUGUUUAUGAUUGUGGUUGUAACUGGAGUUGCGUACAGCUGCACGGCAUCACGCUGACAGCGAAUGUCACUAAAUAGGAUGUGAUGUUGUAUGUCAUCGUAACGUGCAGCUUCCUAUAACGGUGUGGCCAGCGAGCGCAGCGGCCCCUCAUGAAUAAAGCGGCGAGCUCUUUUCCCCGGCACGGGUCGCACACGCUGAAACUUUCAUGAGCUCGACUCUCGCAUGUGGCGCACGCAUAUGCUUCUUCCGAAUGAGGGGUCGGCCGCCCUCUCCCUCGGAUUCCGUUCCGCCCGCGGCUCAGUCGAGCGUGCGUUAUCACGUCGUCGCGUACGUUGACGACCCCCCCCCCCCCCCCCGGGAAUAAAUGCGGCGCCGCGCAAAGAGGCCGAGCGUCGCGUCCACAACCGGCCGACGUUCCCACACGGUUGCAGGCAGUCGUGCUUGUCCGCGCCCCUCUUUUGACAUCCUUCGCUGCAUCUUGCCCGUCUCGCCCUCCCUGUAGCGACACUUCUCAAGCGCGUGCAGAAUCCAGCGCCGCGGCCAAAACGACAGCAGCUCCUGUAGUCCACGGCGGCGGAGACGGCCACGAUGACAGCGGGCACGCCGUACCCUGCCAAGUAGAAGUACUUCGUGCGGGAGUGCUCGCUCUCAAACACCUCCACCAGCAUGAUGUAUAGCUGCACCCCUUCCAGGAACAUCCAGGUGAAGGCUGCCAAGAAGAAGAAAUGGAGCAGGGCCGCAAACACUGCGCAGGCAAUCUGGGUUCUGGCUGAGACGGAGAAUAUCUCAUUUUUGGACUUUGGGCCAGAAGCGGGGCGCAUCCCGGAUUGGUCGCUAGCCAAGUUCCAUGUUCCAGCAAUAGAACCACAACCAGGAAAGCUUGCAGGCACCUCGGAAGAGCGACUCAGCAAUGAAGAGGCUGAUGCAGAGGUUCUUGUGGAUGGUGUUGCGGUCGCUCUGCAGUCCGCGGAAAAAGCAGAAGGUGAAGAUGCAGAUGAGCAGGCAGACCAGGGACAGCAGGAUGCCCACCCAGUUUCCAUAGGCAGUCUGGCUGUGUGUCAUUGAGCGUUCGGAGUCAGGGCGUUGGGAACGCGCUGCACAGGUGUUCCGUCUCUAUCUAUCAGUGUCCCGAGAGCCGGCGGCGGCGUGAUCGAUAGACUUCUGGAAGCCGCCCGCUGCGUUCGCAUACGGCCGCCGAGGAAGCCGGCCCUGACAGUGACCUCUCUUUGAAAGAACGCUCGUCCUCUGGCUGAGACGGCAAUCAAGCCGGCCGGCCCGACCCGAUGCGACGCCUACCUUGACCUCCAUGUGGGCCAUGAGCACGGCAAAGCUGGUGAGGUGAGUGCAGGAG
Syngnathoides biaculeatus (alligator pipefish) is the source of this 2541-nucleotide long non-coding RNA. RefSeq lists it as uncharacterized. The transcript is spliced from 6 exons. Lineage: Eukaryota; Metazoa; Chordata; Actinopteri; Syngnathiformes; Syngnathidae. The record is from RefSeq and is a predicted model, not a curated record.